CUGCUAUCGGAUGAUACUAAGCCAUGCGAGUCUUUGUAGUAAUACAAGGCAGACGGCUCAGUAACACGUAGUCAACCUACCCUAUGGACAAGAAUAAUCUCGGGAAACUGGGCAUAAUUCUUGAUAGAUCAUAAUGCCUGGAAUGGUUUAUGGUUAAAAUGAUUCGUCGCCAUAGGAUGGGACUGCGGCCUAUCAGCUUGUUGGUGAGGUAAUGGCCCACCAAGGCGAUUACAGGUACGGGCUCUGAGAGGAGAAGCCCGGAGAUGGGUACUGAGACACGGACCCAGGCCCUAUGGGGCGCAGCAGGCGAGAAAACUUUGCAAUGUGCGAAAGCACGACAAGGUUAAUCCGAGUGAUUUCUGCUAAAGAAAUCUUUUGCCAGUCAUAAAACCACUGGUGAAUAAGGGGUGGGCAAGUUCUGGUGUCAGCCGCCGCGGUAAAACCAGCACCUCAAGUGGUCAGGAUGAUUAUUGGGCCUAAAGCAUCCGUAGCCGGCUUUGUUAGUUUUCGGUUAAAUCCAUGUGCUCAACGCAUGGGCUGCCGAAAAUACUGCAUAGCUAGGGAGUGGGAGAGGUAGACGGUACUCAGUAGGAAGGGGUAAAAUCCUUUGAUCUAUUGAUGACCACCUGUGGCGAAGGCGGUCUACCAGAACACGUUCGACGGUGAGGGAUGAAAGCUGGGGGAGCAAACCGGAUUAGAUACCCGGGUAGUCCCAGCUGUAAACGAUGCAGACUCGAUGAUGCAUUGGCAUAAUAGCCAGUGCAGUGUCGCAGGGAAGCCGUUAAGUCUGCCGCCUGGGAAGUACGUACGCAAGUAUGAAACUUAAAGGAAUUGGCGGGG
RNAcentral lists this ribosomal RNA (840 nucleotides) under uncultured marine group I thaumarchaeote. RNAcentral's name for it is "SSU rRNA". It matches the Rfam family "Archaeal small subunit ribosomal RNA", at positions 27 to 873 of the family's 1478-position model. Lineage: Archaea; Thermoproteati; Nitrososphaerota. The record is from RNAcentral.